GUUUAAAGAAAAAAAUGAAGAAAUACGUACACACAGCAACAGAAGGUUCUCUCUGCCUGCCUCCACCAAGUGUUGAUUAUGCACCCCCCGACUUAUCAUUCCUCCAUUUUCAGCAGAUUUGGCCCCUCAAUUAUGACACCUCAUGGAUGUAGCACUGCUGGGUGAGGAUCUCCCUGACCCACCUUGUCUUGGCAAGUGGCACCCAUACGUGGGGGCUCGAAUCCAGGUUGAAGGGUCACCGGAGAGAUGGUUGGAGAAUGUGGAAAACUAAGCUGUAGGACACCUGAGUACUCUUAAAGCAAUUCCCAUGGUGAGUAAGAAGGGGAGCUCAGAAGCAUCAGGGUAACAAUGGGACAAGUGUGGGCUCUGG
Homo sapiens (human) is the source of this 370-nucleotide long non-coding RNA. RefSeq lists it as uncharacterized. The record is from RefSeq and is a predicted model, not a curated record. The transcript is spliced from 3 exons. NCBI's taxonomy places the organism in Eukaryota, Metazoa, Chordata, Mammalia, Primates, Hominidae.